GGAUGAACGCUGGCGGCGUGCUUACCACAUGCAAGUCGAACGGAAAGGCUCCUGCUUGCAGGGGUACUCGAGUGGCGAACGGGUGAGUAACACGUGGGUGAUCUGCCCUGCACUUCGGGAUAAGCCUGGGAAACUGGGUCUAAUACCGGAUAGGACGAUGGUUUGGAUGCCAUUGUGGAAAGUUUUUCGGUGUGGGAUGAGCUCGCGGCCUAUCAGCUUGUUGGUGGGGUAAUGGCCUACCAAGGCGUCGACGGGUAGCCGGCCUGAGAGGGUGUACGGCCACAUUGGGACUGAGAUACGGCCCAGACUCCUACGGGAGGCAGCAGUGGGGAAUAUUGCACAAUGGGCGCAAGCCUGAUGCAGCGACGCCGCGUGGGGGAUGACGGCCUUCGGGUUGUAAACUCCUUUCGCUAGGGACGAAGCGCAAGUGACGGUACCUGGAGAAGAAGCACCGGCUAACUACGUG
This 466-nucleotide ribosomal RNA is filed under the name uncultured bacterium. Its description in RNAcentral is "partial 16S ribosomal RNA". It matches the Rfam family "Bacterial small subunit ribosomal RNA", at positions 27 to 507 of the family's 1533-position model. The record is from RNAcentral.